Molecule: ribosomal RNA, 216 nt
Filed under: Glomeromycotina sp.
Lineage: Eukaryota; Fungi; Glomeromycota
Description: partial small subunit ribosomal RNA
Rfam family: Eukaryotic small subunit ribosomal RNA (bases 40-216)
Source: RNAcentral
GGGUCAGUAGGUUGGUCGUGCCCCCGGUACGUGCUGGUCUCACUGAUUCCUCCUUCCUGAAGAACCGUAAUGCCAUUAAUUUGGUGUUGCGGGGAAACAGGACUGUUACUUGGAAAAAAUUAGAGUGUUUAAGGCAAGCUAACGCUUGAAUACAUUAGCAUGGAAUAAUGAAAUAGGACGAUCGAUCCUAUUUUGUUGGUUUCUAGGAUUGACGUA